Molecule: transfer RNA, 73 nt
Filed under: Thermoplasmatales archaeon
Lineage: Archaea; Methanobacteriati; Thermoplasmatota; Thermoplasmata; Thermoplasmatales
Description: tRNA-Gln
Rfam family: tRNA
About the family: Transfer RNA (tRNA) molecules are approximately 80 nucleotides in length. Their secondary structure includes four short double-helical elements and three loops (D, anti-codon, and T loops). Further hydrogen bonds mediate the characteristic L-shaped molecular structure. tRNAs have two regions of fundamental functional importance: the anti-codon, which is responsible for specific mRNA codon recognition, and the 3' end, to which the tRNAs corresponding amino acid is attached (by aminoacyl-tRNA synthetases). tRNAs cope with the degeneracy of the genetic code in two manners: having more than one tRNA (with a specific anti-codon) for a particular amino acid; and 'wobble' base-pairing, i.e. permitting non-standard base-pairing at the 3rd anti-codon position.
Source: RNAcentral
AGCCCCGUAGUGUAGUGGUCAAUCAUGGGAGGCUCUGGACCUCUCGACGGCAGUUCGAAUCUGCCCGGGGCUA